Molecule: ribosomal RNA, 454 nt
Filed under: uncultured bacterium
Lineage: Bacteria
Description: bacterial SSU rRNA
Rfam family: Bacterial small subunit ribosomal RNA
Source: RNAcentral
GACGAACGCUGGCGGCAGGCCUAACACAUGCAAGUCGAGCGCCCCGCAAGGGGAGCGGCGGACGGGUGAGUAACGCGUGGGAACGUACACCUUUCUACGGAAUAGCCUCGGGAAACUGGGAGUAAUACCGUAUAAGCCCUACGGGGGAAAGAUUUAUCGCCAAAGGAGCGGCCCGCGUCAGAUUAGGUAGUUGGUGGGGUAAAGGCCUACCAAGCCUACGAUCUGUAGCUGGUCUGAGAGGAUGAUCAGCCACACUGGGACUGAGACACAGCCCAGACUCCUACGGGAGGCAGCAGUGGGGAAUUUUGGACAAUGGACGCAAGUCUGAUCCAGCAAUGCCGCGUGCAGGACGAAGGCCUUCGGGUUGUAAACUGCUUUGUACAGAACGAAAAGGCUCUGGUUAAUACCUGGGCUCAUGACGGUACUGUAAGAAUAAGCACCGGCUAACUACGUG